Molecule: non-coding RNA, 73 nt
Organism: Podarcis lilfordi (Lilford's wall lizard)
Lineage: Eukaryota; Metazoa; Chordata; Lepidosauria; Squamata; Lacertidae
Source: the annotation of a GenBank genome assembly
UGCAUAGCUCAGUCAGUAGAGCAUGAGAAUCUUAAUUUCCAGGCUGUGGAUUUGAGCCCCACAUUUGGCAAAA